Long non-coding RNA from Aedes albopictus (Asian tiger mosquito), 16535 nucleotides. RefSeq lists it as uncharacterized. The transcript is spliced from 3 exons. NCBI's taxonomy places the organism in Eukaryota, Metazoa, Arthropoda, Insecta, Diptera, Culicidae. The record is from RefSeq and is a predicted model, not a curated record.
CCCCCCCCCCACUACUUGACAGAUGAGCUCAGUUUCGCGUGCCUACUUGCAAAUCGCAGAUGUCGCUACUGUACGUAAACAACGGGUCCAUCCUUCACUGACGCAACAAUUUUUGUCCAUGCGAAAACAUCUUUUUGUUUCGUGGUGAGUGGAUGCUAACAAGAGGCUAGCGUUUCGUAUCAAAAGGACGUAUUCAACCGAAGCGCAAAAAUUAAUGUUAAUAAAAUUCAAAUCAUUUUGAUUUGAUGCUGUAAGAAAUGUAACAAAAACACUUGUCUAAACAGUAUUGCAUAUUAAUUUGUAACUGCACAUGCUAGAUUAAACCGAGGAUCAAACUAAAAAAAAAUCUGAUCUGAUAAUUUUAACUUCCAUUUUGGAUUUGUCACCAGAUAUGUAGCUGUAAAAUGUUAGCAUAAGUAGUAAUUUAUUACUGGCAUGUGCAUAAUAACCGUACCAGAGGAAAACAUGAGUUUCUGAUUAAUAGUAUGAAAGUCGACUAUUUUGCCUUCACUCGUUUGUAGUUAUAAAUUUCACUUCUAGUAAACAAAUUCAUCAUACCGCACUUAAAUUGCAUUUUCCUGCGUCAGAGAAGCAGAAACAACACAUCAAAAUUCUUGUUUAAUAUUUCAAUAUGUUUUGUGCGGUUUGUUAUUCUUGGUUUUCGUCAUUUUCAGAAGUAGCGCUUGCCGCUUUGAAUUUGACAGUACCACCCGGACCAAAAUUUUUAGGUACGCUGACGUUGUUCGGCAGCUGUCAAGAAGCUCCCGGGUUGAUUUUUUCCCAUACAAAUUUCAACCGCAAUGAUUCGGGGACGCAAUUAAUCUCAAAUUUCAUACAGUUGUUUUAGAUGCUAAGAGGAACCGAAAAAAACUUUGUUUAAAAAAUCGACCUUCCUGACCCAGUCUAAGAUAUAUUAGUCUGGGUCAUGAUUCUAUGGAAAAAUAUUAAGAAUGGAAAAAAUUUCAUUCACUUAAUAUUUUAAAGUUUAAUUUUGGUGCCAUAUCCACUGUGUAAAUUUUAAGCUCGAUCGGAGAAACUAUGUUUUAGCGCCCACCAUUCUAAAUUUUCAUACGAUUUACUAUAUGUUUUUCCUUGACAUGACUUAAAGUUAAAAACUAACAUGUUACCGUUUCGUAAAAUAAACACAAUACAAUACAAUACUAUAAGAAAAAAAUACUUUUUUUCAAAAAAAAAUAAAAUCGCCAGAAAUCACCCCAAGAUCCCUAAGAAAUAAGUCGAUGAUUCUAUAUACGACGAAGUUACACGCUGAAUGACGGGAAAAAGUCGAAUUGUAAAUAUCACCGUCUGCGAUUUAGAUCACACAUACUUAGCAUGUGUCAAGUAAGUGGCGUGUGUUUUUAAGAAAAGGCAGUGACAUACAUUCAAUCGCCCAUAACUCGCGAACGGAACGAGCGAUUUGGUUCAUGAUAUAUUUUUUUUAAACAUAAAUUUUUCAUGCAUUUUGUGGACGAGACUUAAUAGUCUUAAUCACUAACUUCCUAAAAGCUUCCGUUUUCGAGAUACUUCAACUUGAAAUUCGAAAUUUCCAAAAAAAACCUAUCUUACACCAAUUUGGAAAAUUACUGAAGAUUUUCCAUUCGCAACUUCUAGUUUUCUAAAGUGUUCAUGAAAGUUUUCACAUUUCAUUCUCUUACUCCAAGACAAUUGGAUAAGCAACUCAAAAGAUAUAACAGGAUCUAAGAAUAAAAUGAGAAUGCAUGAAAACAUAUUAAAAAAAAAAAAACAAACAACUUUUUAUUUUGAUUAAAUAAUUUCUCUUUACUUAACUGUAUAUUACUAGUUGCCUCCGGAAAAUUUUGUACUGCCGAUCACGUUGUUAGACGUUUCAAGUCCAACGGGCAAUAAAGUGUAUGAAAAUCGAUUUCCGAAAUCUCAAUUUUUCCAUGUGUUCGUCUCAUUUACCUUCCAGGGUGAAACAAAACUAAGACGACCCAAAUCGGACCUUCCAUUUUCAAGUUAUUCGCGAUUUCAAGUAUGUCACUGCAUUUUAUAUACAGGGAAUAGAUAAAAUGAUCGGGACAAGUAAAAUUUUCAUUUUGCUUUGCAUUUUUCCAGAAAGAAGUUUUCUCUAAAACUUUUAAUGAUAUACCAAUAUAGCAUGAUUUUUUAUUGGUCUAAUCAGAGGCCCAAAUAUUAUUUGUAACAUGCUCUCAAUAAUUAAUCCAAACAUUUUUUCGGCACAUCCUAAAAAUUUUGGCGAAGCGGUAUAGUCCAACGUUUUUUUUUAUGAAUCUAACUAGACUACUAUUUUAUUUUUCUUAUCGUUUAUUUAGCGGUAUAAUAUCUUGUUUUACUUCAAGUAACUAAUAAUUCUACAUUUAUGCUGGAAUCUUUUAGAAAGGAGAAAUUUCGGUUACUGCACAUUUCUUAUUUUAUGUUUGAUAAAGAUAAAUAAAGAUUAUGUUUGAUAAAGAUAAAUAAAGAUAAAUAAAGAUAGGUCAGUGAAGAAAAUCUCUAUGUCAUGUAAUAUUUAACCAAAAAUACGCAAAAAAUAAGAAAAUUUCGGUAUUUUUCUGAAAACUCAUUAGAUAGAGUUUUAUAAAAAUAUAAAAUUAUAUAUGCUUCACCAGAAAUAUCUCAAAAAAUUAUACUACUGGAAUUUUUGAAACCCCGGAAUUAUUGGAUAACGUGCUACUAUUGAUAACUAGAACAACGGCCACUUUUAAAAUAGCAAAUAGCGUCAGUAAUGACGCAAAAAAAAAUAUAGAAAAACAAUAAUUCCUGAAAAGUUUCAUCCUUAAUUUGUAAGUGUCCUGACAUUAUUUUUUCUUGAAACUGAUUCAUAGAGUUCGUUUCGGAAUUCUAGACAUUACUUCAAAAAAUCACCAAAGAUUUAACUAGGUCUUUUUUCAGAAAAUCCUCCAGCAGUUUUUUAGACAUUCCUCCAUAAGUUAGUUUAUAAACUCCUCUAGGAAAAUCUCUAAAGAUUAAAACAAAAAAUAUUUCAAAUUUUCCUGUAAGGUACCCCGGGGCAAGUGAGAAUCCGGGGCAAGUGAGACCUACAGUUAUAUUUUUUUUUCAUUUUUCAUUUUUAAGGCAAACAUUCUUCAUGGAAAACAUAGGUAUCACACCAACGGAUACUUUGAAUUCAAAAAUUGUAAUUGUUCUCACCAUAAAGGGACCAUAUAUGUUAUUGUUGUUCAUAUGUAAUUUUCAAUUCACUAAUUCAAUUUUGAGAUAAACGUACUCUACUACAUUCGUCGUUUUAAAAUAGAAUAACAAAUAAAGUAAAACUUUUUCGGUUUCAGGAUAAUAUUUGGAGUACUUGUGAAUUAUUUUAAGCAAAAAAGCUGUAAUUUAUUUUCAUUUUUUACCUUUUGAUAACGGCUCUCACUUGCCCCAGUGCAUUUCAACAUCUGGGGCAAGUGAGAUCUAUGAGAGUAAACAAACACAUUUUCACAGUGUGAUCUCGCUUUCGUCAGCCUAAGUCGAAAUUUACACAGAAGUGAAGUAAAAAUCCGCGCCUGACAUAAAAAAUCGUUGAAUUUACUUAAUUCUUUUUAUUCUGAUGAUUAAACUAUUGUUUAAAAUGGUUAAGUCUUGGGUAGAACAUAUUUUUUUUCGAAACCAUCCAUUUUUCAUGUUUUCGUCUAAGUAAAUUCUAUAUUUUUUUUUUCGUUUUUCGCUGCAUAAUGAGUUUGUCUGAGUGUUAAGAAACCGACCAUAAAGUAAGAAAAAAAUGGAAAACGACUUAUUCAUAGUUCACGAUUUGAAAAUAUUUAUUUAAUGACCGUAAAUUUAUGCAAGGGAAAACAUAACAUCUGCAAAUCUUGAAAAAUCUUUUGGCGAGAUUCAUCAACUACGUAAUAUGAAAAGCAAGUUUGGAAAUCUUUCGGAAUUUAGCUUUAUGGCGCUUUUUAAAUAAAAAAAACCAAUUUGUUUUGCACGAGCUGCUUAAAGUUAAAUCAUUUUUUUUCUCAGUGACUCGUAAAAAUAUGUGUUACGUAAUUUAUGCACGAUACCACAAAACUCUUCCAACAUAAGUCACCUAACAUAGUUAUUCGUAUAAGAUAUUUACAAUUAAUGCUUCUUUGCAUAUAAGCAGCAACUAUAUUAAGCCAUUUGUAUAAACAUUCCGAAUAGGUCCCAUUUGCCCCGUAAUUCGGAGUAAAUGGAGAUCUGCUCCACUUUUCAUUAUAUGCAUAAUAUACAGAAUGUAGAAAUUUUGAAACAGUUGUAAUGCCCGUUAAUAAGAAGAAAUAUACCAACAAUGUUUUUUAAAACCUUUGGAAUUAUAAAAUUAUUUAUGUUUGAUUUUUUUUGGCUUGACAAAACUAAACUAGCAUUUUUUUAGGUUCCACUUGCCCCGGGGUACCUUAUUUUUUUUUAAUUCUUUCAGAUAUGGAGGUGUAGAACUAAAAAUUCAAACCAAGCGGUAUGGAAUAGGCUAAGUCGGUGAGAUUGCCAUAGAUAGCACCACUGUCCAAAUGAUCUCACAUCCUAUUUCCAGAACUUGGCUGAGAAACUCUAUAAAUCUCUCCGGUUUACUCCAGGAAACAGUUGAUAUCUUUAGAAAACCCCUUCUGUCAGAAUUGUGGUUGUAAGAAUAAAAAUCUCCUCAAAACUAUUUUGACGAGUUUUUCAAGUACUUCUUGGACAAAAAUAAUUCUAAUACCGACAAAGAUACAAAAUUCAAAAGCUAAAUUAUUAAUGCUUCGAAUGAAGGAUGAAAAUGGAAGCUAGUAUGUUUGCUUAGUAAGGGAUUCCCCGAUACCCUAGGAACCAAAGGAUUCAUUACAUUUAUAUUUUUCAAUUGGGAUACGGUAUUAUUUAUUUACAUCAUGAACAGUGACAUAAAUCUUUCCUUAACAUGUGGAUGUUCAGCAAAACCUUAAGAGUGACGGGUUCGAUUUCAUUACUUUACAGUUGGUUUGUGUUUUGAAUAUGGUUGGACAAGUUUAUUUCCAUAAAAUAGUGAAAGGGGUCUCCAGUUAGCCUAGUGGUUUAGGCUGUAGAUGGUCAAACCGGAGACGGCGGGAUUGAUUCCCGUUCCGGUCGGGAAAAUUUUCUCGACUCCCUGGGCAUAAUGUAUCAUUGUUCUUUUUCUACAAUAUACAAAUGCAUGCAAUGGCAGGCAAAGAAAGCCCUUCACUUAAUCACUGUGCUAAGCUAAGAACAUUAAGUUGAAGAGAGGCAGGCCAUGCUCCAAUGCGAACGUCUAGUCAUAAAAAAGACGAAGAAGAAGAAAAAGAAGAAUCACACCCUUUCACUUCUAUUAUUAGAAUGUAGAAUGAAAGAAAUGUAGAAUAAAAGAAUAAUACGAAAUAUGUUCAUCGGUUUUUCACUACAUACCGUCGCUUUCUUGCAGCUGUCGGUUGUUAUCUUGUUUUGUUACACUCGUGCGAUACCAGACUAAAAAUUAUAUCAUUUUUUUUUCAUAUUGUGUUAUAAACCAGAUGCCAUUAUCCUGUUAAAACAACUAAAAUUGAAACAAAAAAUUAGGCUAAUUUAAUCAAAAUAAUAUCUUAUUUAUUUUGUUAUAAUUAGAACAAAAUUAUAUCAAAAUAAAAUGUGACUAAGCUUCAGGAAUAUUAGUUUUAUCAAAAUUUGAUACAAUUUUGUUACAUUAUUGUAUACUGCCUAUGAUCGCAUAACUGUCCCAUAUGAAUAGGAAACCCAAAUAUGGGACAAGAAUUAAAACUAUGUUAUUGUACAAUGAGUAUUAGCGUGGUUCAAAAAAUCAUUUUUGCUCCACACCGCUUAUUCGAUUCCUAACCAGAUUAUAUGCCUUCUCACAAAAUUUGAGCUCAUUUGGUUGAAAAUUGAGACUGCACAAGCCCGUCAAAGUUUGUAUGGGAAUUACUAUGGGAAAAUGAUGUUUUUCAUUCAAUCGACCGUAGCAUUUCCACAAGUGCCCUAUUGAAUUAGUCGACCCUUGGUAAUACUAGGCUACUCUAUCAGCUACAACUUUGCCGAAGACCGCAUUCAAAUCGGACGCCUCAUUAAUUAGUUAUCGAUUUGUAUCCAACUGGGCAAACUUUAGCUAUGAUCCUUCAGCUUCCCAGCAGGCAACAUUGCUGCAUAUGGCGCCAAAGAUAGCACACUGAAAUGAUGGCUACUAUGUUCCACUGCAGAAUGCAGUGAUGCCCACCGAUUAGUUUAACCAUCAUGAGUAAAGAUUUCGAUCCUGGAUAAAAAUCGGUAACUAAUUAAUGAGGCGUCCGAUUUGAAUGCGGUCUUCGGCAAAGUUGUAGCUGAUAGAGGUGCCUAGGAUUACCAAGGGUCGACUAACCCACUAGGGCACUUGGGGAAAUGCUACGGUUGAUUGAAUGAAAAACAUCGUUUUCCCAUAGUAAUUCCCAUACAAACUUUGACGGGCUUGUGCAGUCUCAAUUUUCAACCAAAUGAGCUCAAAUUUUGUGAGAAGGCAUAUAAUCUGGUUAGGAAUCGAAUAAGCGGUGUGGAGCAAAAACGAUUUUUUGAACCACGCUAAUGAGUAUAUAACAACAUUUAUAACAUAAUGUGAUAUGAUUAUGUUCUAGUAUUCAAAAAACACCAAUAAAGGAGAACAUGGUUAUAUUGCAAUGAAUUAUAAAUAUCAUGGUAUUUUUUAAUUAUGUUGCAUUUUUGUUAUAGUCUUCUAGUCGGGAUACCGUUACUUCUUACACACAACACGAGCGGUAGAACGAAAGUCAAUAAACAUUCAAACAAAUCAAAUCAACGUUGUCUGACACCAUAACAUUUGUCUAAUUCUAGCUUUUCGCAUAGAAUUUAGACAUUUCCGAUUACGAAUGUUAAUAUUUGUUUAUUCUUGCUUAUUAAAUCGAAUACGAAACACAUAUAGCUGGACAAUACAGCUCUCAUUAUGGAAAAAGACAGCAAUAACAAAAACCGAACCGUCCCACGAAAACGCGCAUUCAUUUGACAUUUUUGUUUCGCACAAUAGUUUGAUCGCUUGUGUUGCGAAUUUUGGAGACAAAGGAAUAUCGGACGAAUAGGUGUCAAAGACUGUGAUCGCUAACAAGACUGGUGACAACGUAAUAAACAUUACAUAGGGUAUCGGCUCCCUUAUUCAGCGGAAUCCUUGGGCAAUUUUUUUUAGUGAAAAUUCUCGGUGGAGAUUCAGGAGGCAUCAUUGGAAGCAUCUUCGCGGAAAUUUGGGAAGAAAAUCCGAAGAAUGUUUUUGAGAAAUCCAUGUAGGAAUAUUUGGAAGAAUGCUCGGAGAAAGUAAUAAAGAAGUCCAAUAACUUUCAGAAACUCCUGAAACAAUUUCAAUCCUCAAAAGAAUCCUUACAGAAACUUUCGAAGUAAUUCUCGAAGAAGUUUUUAGAAGCAUAUUCGGAAGUUUUUCGAAAGAUCUUUCUGGAGAAUUCCUUAGAGAAAUUAUAGGAUCAAUUUUUUGGCAAAAAAAUCUGAAGGAAUUUUUGGAGUAAUUCUCGGAGACAUUUUCAGAUGAAUCCUUAGACUAUGAAAAUUCUUGAGGAUUUUUUGGAUGAAUUUCCUGGUAAAUCUUUCAGAAAGAGUUUUUUUUUCAAAAAUCUUUUGAAUUUUAGUUCAAAUGGAAAUUCUCGGGCAAAUCUUUUGCAAAUUUCUCUACGAACCGUCGGAGAAUUUUUGAUCUAAUUCUGGAACAAAUUCUCAAAAAACUUUCUAGACCAAUCCUCUGAGAAAUUUCUUGGAGAAUCUCUCUGAGGUAUUCCUAGAGAAUACUCAAAGGAGUAAUUUUUGGAGAAUCUUCGAGAUUACUUCAAAAAAUCCAGGAGGAAUAAAACUAUGGAAUUCUAGGAAUACCGAGCUGUUCUAAAUGGAGUUAGAAAGAUUCUCGAAAAGGCAUAAUUAUUCGAUAGCCAAUUUUGAGCAGUUAUAUCUUGGGAUUUAAUGAACCGAAUUUAAUGAAAUUUUUACCUUUUAUGACUUGUAUUGAGAUUUGAAAAUUGUUUGACUUAACUAUAAACUAUUCAAAAGAAAAUAUACAGGGGAUGGCCAAAAUGUUUGGGAUAGGCAACUUUUUUUUCUCUCACAAAUAAAAUCAACAUGCUGUAACUUUUCAUAGAGUGCAUCAAAAAAUCUCAAAUUUUGACUGCUUAUCAACCUAUUAUAUGUGCAUCAUUGGUACAAAUUUGGGCUCGAUUGAUAAAUCUUUCGCAAAGUUAGCACCGUUCGGGUAAAACACUAUUUUUUAGACAACUCAUUUUUGAACUGUCAUAUCUCGGAAACCAGUGAACCGAAUUGAAUGAAUUUUUUAACGUUUAUCAACAAUAUAUUGAUACUUAAUACGACGUUAUAAAAUGUUAUAUUUUCUCACGGCGAAUUAAAUUAUACCGGGUUGAAAUUUUUACCCAUAUAGAGGAAAAUAAGUCAAAUUUACAAUACCACACAAAAAUUAUUAAAUGUGUUCUUUCUUCAAUCUAAAUAGGCUCUAAUAUAUCUGAUUAGAGAUAACUUGAGAACAGAAGUGGAAAAUCUUUGGAUAUCAACACUAAAAUUUAUUGACAUUGAUGUGAAAAAAUUGCAUUUUUUCGAGAAAAAUCCAAAAAGUGUCAAUCCAUGAUAACUUUUUUCAAUGUUUAAAAAGUACCUAUGUUUUAAUAGUUUGUGAAGCAUUUACAUAUUGUUAGUGUACGUUCAAAAUUUCAUUCAAUUCGGUUCACUGGUUUCCGAGAUAUGACAGCUCAAAAAUGAGUUGUCUGAAAAAUAGUGUUUUACCCGAACGGUUCUAACUUUGCGAAAGAUUUAUCAAUCGAGCUCAAAUUUGUAUCAAUGACGCACAUAUAAUAGGUUGACAAACAGUCAAUAUUUGAGAUAUUUUGAUGCGCUCUAUAAAAAGUUAUAGCAUGUUGAACUUUUUUGUGAGAGAAAAAAAGUUGCCUAUCCCAAACAUUUUGGCCAUCCCCUGUAUUAUAUUCAAAAAAAGGUUAUAGCGAUUUCAUUUAUGUUUUUUAGUAAACUGGCCAGUUUUUAAUAUGCAUUCCAUUACUUUUUUCAAUCUACUGCCAAUUAUUUUGUUACUUGUCUACAAAAACAUAUUUAUAAUCAAAUUAAUUUGAGGGAAUUUGAAUGAACUAUAAUUAUCAUCUCAAGUUUUGAAACGAUUUUGUGGACUACCCAUUAAUUAUGUAAGGGUUUAUGGGGGCAGGGGGGGGAUUGGAAACCUUAUGCGCCAUACAAAAAGUCUUAUUGUCUUAACUUAAGUUAUGGCAGUUUUAUGACCCUUAUUCGAAAGAUUACUGAAUUUUCUAACAAAUGGCAGCUUUGUAUCGAUUGGUUUAGUUAAAUAACUAAGUUUUCUAGAGCAAAUAGCUCAAAUGUAGUGUGUUUUAAUUUGUUUUCGUCAGUUAUCUUUGAAAAAUGCCUAAUAAUUUAAAAUUCUUUCUUUGGCAAAGUUGUGACCCCUGUUCUAUUCUAUAACUCGUUCUUUGACAUCAAACUUCUAUCUCUUAUCGUUUUCUUGAAAUUGCGAUUUAAACAUAGCAUUUAAGAUCCUAAAUUUGCAACUGUUACGGUUAGCACUUUUUUGCGCACUGUGCCGCACAUUUAAAUCGAAAUUGCAAGAAAACGAUAAGAGCUAGAAGUUUGGUGUCAAAGAACGAAUUGUAGAGUGGAACAGGGGCCACAACUUUGCCAAAGAAAGAAUUUAAAUUUACUACGCAUGUUUCACUAUUUAUGGUCCUCUAUCACUCUUUAAAAAGUUUGUAUUCAUGAACCUAACACCCUUGUAUAUUGAUUGAUAUAAAAGGUAAAAGAUCAGGAAUAACAUCAAAAUCUAGUACGGAGAAUUGCUCAUUUAAAGCUCGUUAAGAUAUUACAUGAUCAAAACAAUAUCAGAUAAGAUUUGUCUACCUUUUUCUUUAAAAAAAAAUGCCACCAUCUUGCAUUGAACCUACACUCCCGAUCAAAAAUUUGGGGUCACCCCCUGAAAAAGAUGUCAUUUUUAGACCCAUACCUCCCUUGGGGUCUCCAAGAAGCCUCGUGGAUAAGGCUUCGGAUCGCCAAACCGAAGACAGCGGGUUCGAUUUCCGUUGGGGUCGGGAAGUUUUCUCGAAUUCCCUGGGCAUUCCCGAGCAAAGUCAGCAGAUUGAAAACUACUUUUUGAUCUUGUGAUAUUGCAAAUUUUGAUAACAUCAAAAAGAAAGCAGAAAAAUGUUCCCGUAACAGUAAGUUGAAAACCACUCCUGCCAUCAGUGAUAGCAAAUUGAUAACUGUUUUUGCUAUCAGUGCAAAAAAUGAAAAAAAAAUCGUUAAAUGUAGAGUUUUUGCGAUUAAUAUGGAAACCUAAAUGCAAUUAGAUAAUUUUACAUAUGAUGUAUGAUAAAAUGAAUUAUACUAGAAUGCAUAGAAGUUUUGAAAUAACUUAAACACUUCAAUAUUUAAAAUAAUUUGAAGUAACAGCAAAACGAAAUUAAAAUUUGAAAUCAAAUAUAAUCAAGAUAAACCGAUAUCAAAAUGUGAUAUCAAUUUGCUGCUGAUUACAAAUCGUGUUUUGGAUUUGCUAUCAUUAUGUUGUUGGACUUUGCUCGGGUAGUGUACCAUUGUGCUUGCCUUCAAUUAAUAACUGUGGAUGUGCUCAAAGAAUACUAAGUUGAAUUGAGGCAGGCCAAGUUCUAGUGGGAACGUAGAGCCUCACAAAGAAGAAGAAGUAUCUCCGCCAAUUUGCGUCCGAUUUCAAAACCCUAGGUCUAAUUCAAAAGAUAGUAAGUCAAAGUAAUUUUAAACAUGAUUCAGGUGAAACCUUUACAAUAUUAUUUGUAUGUAAAGAUAACCCAAAAUUGCCAAAUUUUCUAAAUAAUAAAUAUAAACUUACGAUAGUGUCGCUGGAAAUUGGGUUGACCGAAUUUCAAGAUUAGAGCGGUAAUAUAGCCUAUUUUUUAUUAUCUUUCAAAUGUUUUUUUACCGAACUUGGCUAAAAAAUCUAGGAAAAAAGUUAUUAAGUAAGUUAGCUCUUGAUGUCAUCGACCAAAAGUUUGGGGUCACUUUCGUAAAACAUGGAAAAGUGAUUUAGUUAUAUCUUCGUCUUCGUCAACUAUAGUUCAGUUUUAUUUUAAUUCAAUUUCUUCCCAAACUUUUUAUCGGGAGUGUAUGACCUUAGGAUUCACAUGCGGAAAUGCUCAGCAUUCAUUGUUGUGAAUAUCAUGGGAAUAAGAGCAUAAAGUUCUUUGUUUCCACAGCUCAUAAAGAAGAAGAAGCCCGACCUUUUCCAAAUUUAGAUCACUGAUACACAACUAGCUGAUCUAAUUAUAGUAAAAUUUUGAGAUGUUUUUAUGCAUUUUUCAGAAAGUUACAGCAAUUUGAUUUUUUUUUGAAUUUUGUUAAUUUUGCCUGUUCCAAUCAUUUUGUCUAUAUUUUUUGUAUCAUCAUCUUUUCAAUGCAUGAUCGAAUUCAAAAGAUGCAAUUUGGAGUCCAAAAAAUUAAUUGCACUGGUGAGAUCUUUCCAUGUUAAAUAUUUUUUACUUUAUCAACUCACUGCAAACUACAAUAAAUAUCUUUAUGUUUAUUCUCUACAUAUUGGCUGCUCAAGUUUUCAUGCUUGUUUAGUGCAUGUAGGAAUUACCGAACUUCAAUCUAUUUCUAGCAUUUAUAACUACUUUGCCUGAAGCACAGUGAACGGUGCCUGUCGUUUAUUCCAUGUAAUCGUAUCAAAUGGACCGCUCGUUCCAGCAGCCUGCGCGUAAACCAAAUUACCACUGCACUCUUCACCUCCAAAUCCAAUUUCAUUCAGCAGAUUUGUGCAGUUACGACGAUAUUUUCCUUCUUAUUUCGGAGGAAUAUAACUGGUUGUCGCCAUCGUUGCCGUCGCCGUCGUCGUCGUCGUCGUUCACUUUUAUGUAAUUGUCGAAACACCAUGGUCCACUUUCGAAUGAAUGGCGCAAAGUUUCCGCGCGCAGCGCAUAUCGGUGCAUGGUAGUGCGGUGCAAAUUUCUGUUUUUUUUUUUAACUUUUGCUCGCACUUACUCAAUAUGUGCAAAAUUGAACUCGCCCAUUAACUUUCACUUGAAAUUUUCGUUUGUUUUUUAUUGUUCUGGACGGCGGACGAUUAAUUGGAUCCCCAGCAGUGCCAGUCAGUGGCGUGGUUGCCGCCCAGCUCGGUUCGGAGUUCAACGUAUCUUCGAUGUAAAUGCACAUAUUGGCGGUCCCUGUAAUGGGCCGAUCGUGUGGUAUAAGAAAACCAGCGAGAGUAGUAAAAUGUUAUUUUUAAUGAGUAAUGCUUGGAGUGAUGUAUGCUUUUGACGAUUGGAGUGUGUGUUGCCAACGAGCAUUCGAUUAGUCAGUCAUGAAAUUCUAAAAACUUCUGAUGCAAAUAAAUCAAACAUCCAGAUGAAAUGCUGAGUCAAAUUAAACUUAUACAGAUGAAUACCGUGUCAUUCAUAAAAUUGCAACAUCCUUUAUUUCAAUCAGAAAGGCAUAACGAACGGGAAAAAAAUUGUAAAAAUCUCUGCAGAUACAUAUUUAAAUUGUAGAUUAAGUACGUAAGUUUGUUACGAACGAUAUUUGAUAUUUGGUGCUUUUACCAAAUUAUAAUAUAUUUUGUUAGUUAUUAUCAGAAGAAAGUGUAAGUAAAGGAUCAGCAUAAAUUAAAAUAUAUAAAAAAUCUUGUUAUGUUCUUCAGAUCGGUAUUUACACCGGGAUAAUAAUUAAAUAUCAAUCCAGCUUGAACCAAACUCAGUAGGAAAUUCUACACAUUCUCGGAAAAGCUCCACUGAAGUCGAAAAUUUUCACAGUUGGAUGCUUUCCUCCGCCCAGGUAGCGCGCAUUCGUUUCCUACACGGUUUCAGUCGUUUCGAAACACUUUCUUUCGAUCGGUUUUACUUUCCUCAUAGGAACCGCCACGAGCACUACUAUAAUGGAAAACAUAAUUUAUCAACAUCAACAAUGACGACGACGACGACGACCAGGCUGAAAACAAGGGCCGGCCUCCUCUCGAGUAGAGUAAUACCUACCUUUACGAUGAUGACUAGACGAGGGCAGGCAGUGAAGUACCUAAAAAGCGAAAAACACGGGAGUCUACCGCGAGUCGCGACAGCAGCAACCAAGACGAUGACGACAACACAAUCUGGGCAACACUUUGCCACAGUUCCACUAUGACUAUUAGGUACCAAAUGGCAGCCUAGUUCAUGCUCACAUAGCAUACAGUUUGAUUUAAAAAUGUUUGUAGAAAUUUUUAAAACAUUUUUCUAGUUAAACUACUUAAGUAAUUCUUGAAGCAGUGUUUGGAAUUCCAGGAAUGCUCGUAGAAACCUCUGAUUGAUCUAUUUAGGCAAUUCCAGGCUUUUGAAUGGAUUCCUGAACUGCCAUAGAGUUCCUGGCGUAUUCCUGGAUCUCUACUGAAUAAUAACUUCACUUAUCGUUUUUACUGCACUCAUAGUCAGCCCACCAUAGCCUGUCGUGUUUACUAGCGUGACUUGGUGUAUGAUAUAACUCGUGUAUUGCAGACAGCACCUGAGGCCCAAAAACACCAAACGCUUUCCGAAAGACUUCCCUCAACGUCGAAGUUUCGAAAGAAAGAUACUACACCAUCUUCGGGUAGUAGCGAAGGAACUCCCACAGGUAUCUAUAAUGGAACUUCUAGAAAAAUUUCCGUCCCAAAAAUUUUGAGAAGAAUUUCCGAUGAAACUCCUACAGGAACUCCUGGUCGCACUCAUUCCCAGUGGAUCUCCUAGAAAAACAAUUUGUGGAACUCCAAGAGACAUUAAUAUUUCAACCCCAAGGAGAACUCCCAAUUCGUGUUGGAACUGUCGAGAAAAACUCCCAGUGGAACUUGCAAGGGAAUUGCCGGCGGAAAAAUUCACAGUGGAACCUCAAGAGGGACUCUCGAUGGAACUCCUAGAAGAUUCCAUGAUGAGACUCCUGUGGGAACUUGCUGUAAUACUCUUGCUGCAAUUCUAGGUCAAACUCGCAUAGGAAUUCCGGAUGACUGCUGGAGUUUCGGUCAGGACUUAAAUUUCCGGGGGUGUUCCUUGAGAUUUUCUUGUAGGAUUUCCUGGAGGAACUCCUGGUGGAAUUUCUAGAGCAAUUUUCGCUGGACCUCCUGUGGGAAUUAGUGGUAGUACUCCUGGAGGUAUUUCCAGUGGUUCUUCUAGGGCGAUUCCCGAUAGAACUCCUGCGAAAAUUUGCGCUGAUGUUCCUCAAGAAAUCCCAUGUGGAACUAGUUUCAAAUGGAACAUCUAGAGAAAUUUUAGUCUAGUCUACACAUGCACAUUGCACACUGCACAGUCAUCUAUUUGAAAAAUGAAAAAGAAGACUAGCUUCAUCAUUUUUUUCUCAUCUAUAUACAGCCAUUCCAUAGAAAAACGAUAUAGGGCAUCUCCGAUUGUCGUGAAACUUGGUGGGCUUGUAGUUCUUUGUAAAUAAUUAGACCCGUAUUUUUUUUAUUUAGUCAUUAGGGUGACCAAUUUUCAUAUAGGGUGGUCCAAAAAAUCAAGGUUUUCCAAAACUAAAAAUUUUCAAAAAAUCGUAACUUUUAAACCAUUUGACCGAUUUUAAACUUAUUUUUUUUUGUUUGAAAGCUAUUGAAUUGUAGUUUUCAGGAAAAAUACGUUAAAGAGGCUAAAAUGUAAAGAGUACUAUAAAAUAUGCAAAUAUUUUAGUUUUUUCACGUAUUCAUGGUCUCGGGACCAAAGAGGUACCCUGGUUUUAUAUUUUUAUCAGAAAAUUCAGGAAAUUUGGCGUGACAUAUCAAAAAAUCAGAAAUGUAUGUUGUUUUGUUUUUGAGAUAUGAUUAUUUGAAAAUACAAGGUCAAAUUUUCCCAUACAAGACACUUCUUUAAAUUUGAUUAUAUUUUGAUUCCUUAUAAUAUUUUUAUUUAUUCUUAAUCACUUAACCUAAUUUACAGCUCCUUUGUCCACUAGGGCACUACGUGAGCGAUUCCAAUGGAUUACCCGCUUCGGCCAAAAUUGCAACAGAUGGCGCUAGUGGGCAGGAGUUUUUUACUUUUAAAAUGUAUGGAGAAAUUGAUAAAAAUUAGUUUUUUGACUUAUUAAAGGUUUUAUUGAAAAAAAUAUUUGGUACAGGUUGUGAGUAAUAAUGAUAGUAAUUUGCGUUACCAAAUAUUUUUUGCAAAAACUUCGAUAUAUUUGAAAUAUUAGGAAAAAUACUCAUUCCACCAUACAUUAUUUUUGCCGAAAACUUCUGCUCGAUAUUGGUUGAUCUUUAUUUGCCUAUACAUGGGGUCACUAAUAUACAUGGAUUCAUGUUUACCCAUCUGUCAAUCAUUCGUAACAAAAAAAUUAAAAAAAAAAGUUAGGAGCUGUUGGAGCGGCGCAAAAAUCUGCGGGUAGUCCAUCCACCGCCGCAACGGUCAACUUGCAGCCGUCGUCGGCCGUCCGGCAUAUUGUAUAAUUUUUAUGGUCUUCUCGGAUAAAAAGAAACAGUGGCAGUGUCGCUGCGUGUCUUGUGCAGGUAGGUGUAUCCCCUGGAGCUGGAGGACGAAGAGAUUGACACCGAUUUACCCUUCCUACUAGAGGCGAAAUUUAUUUGUUCAACAUUUUCCGGCCACUGAUUGUGCAGAUCCAUCCAUCGGCUUAUUUUCAACACUCGUGGUGUUCUUCUUCGGCUGGAAGGUGAUGGCGUGAUGGUCGGUUAGAAAUAUGUACAUACAGCAGUCAGAUCCCUCCUGGCCAUGGGCCUCUAUCCGGUCGUGGGUCACUUGAACUGGACUACCUUCAACGUUGAAUAUCUCAACAGGGAUCACGAUCCCCCCGGCCAGUAUCUCCUCCAAGUGAAACAGGUCGUAUCGUAAUUCUACGAUACCAUCCCGCUGUACUCCAGCGACAUCGGACUGUUGACUCCCGGAUCAAACGGAAGGCGAGAAGACCGGAACGCUUCUUCACCGGGUUUUUUCCUGGCAAUCAUGGCUGUAUUUAUCAUUCCGGUUACUAAACAACACCAUUGUAGACAUCUCCGUUCUGGUCAUCGUCAACGUUAGAGAAUGGAAUGAUUUAUUUUUACUAUUAUAGUUUGUAUUUGUUUAUUAAUAUUAAAAGCAACUAGGGGAGGGGAGGGGGGGGGGGGGUAUAUUGGUUGGUUGUUUUGCUGGGCUUUAAAAGAAACCGAAAAUCCACGGGUAGAUUCCAUCUCAUGCAGAGUUCAUACUUUAAAUAGUUCAUUAGUGGUUCUUACAUUUUAUUUUAAGUCAAUACUGCAAGGUCUAUCCUUGCAAUCAUGCAAUCUGUCCCAAAAUUUAAAAAUAGCUCAAAAUUGAUUGUGGUCACGUGGUUCACCAUAGCCGUAGCCAAAGCUGGUUCACCAAGUUUUCUCAAGUUGUGAGAUGACAUGUUUUUAUUUCAAGAAUCACACUGUUUGUUGAAAAAACCUUAAAAUAGUUCGAAUCGAAGCCUGUUUUAUCAAAUUGUUUCUUAUAAAGCUUUGAUAUGGUCCAUACGUGAUUCUUGCGGUUAGUCAGAAAAAAAAUCUAAACUGGUUCACCAAGUUCUCCCAGGUUGCGAGGUGACACAAUACAUGACUUUUGAACCAAUUUGUUUCUUAUAAAACUUUGAAAUGGUUCAUAAGUGGUUCUUGCGUUUAGUCAGAAAAAAUCUGAAAUGGUUCACCAAGUUCUCCCUCCCAGGUUGCGAGGUGA